GCUUUCUUAGCUCAGUGGUAGAGUGCGUGGCUUUUAACCACGUGGUUGUGGGUUUGACCCCCACGGACGGUG
Ipomoea nil (Japanese morning glory) is the source of this 72-nucleotide transfer RNA. It matches the Rfam family "tRNA". From Rfam's summary of the family: Transfer RNA (tRNA) molecules are approximately 80 nucleotides in length. Their secondary structure includes four short double-helical elements and three loops (D, anti-codon, and T loops). NCBI's taxonomy places the organism in Eukaryota, Viridiplantae, Streptophyta, Magnoliopsida, Solanales, Convolvulaceae. The record is from Rfam.